GUGGUGUUAAUCUUCCCCAACGACAUUUUGUACUACAUUUUCAUUCCUAAUUUUGGAAAAAUAUCCUAUUUCUGUACUCAACACAAUUUAUCUUGAGUGAUUUCUCAAUAUAUAUUUUUUUAAAUCAUAAACAUGCAAAAUUGUUUGAUUAUUUGCAGGUAAAACGAUUAAAAGUUAAUUAUUUUUAUUUUUUGUAUAAUCUUCAAACAAGUCAUGGGAGUCUAUGCAAAAUACAUGUUCAAAGAAUACACUAAAAUGACAGAAGACCCAACAGUUGUGCCUUAACUGAUGAAUUAUCAUACCGUAAUGAUUGUGUACCCCCUUGCACCGGAUAUUGAUGUUUGUGAUAACAAUGAUUGAAACAGGUGUAUCGGUUAUGGCGAUAUUACCAGAAUAUAAUAAAAUAUCUCACAAAGGAGCUGCUUUACCAUUCAAUAUUUAUAGCUUAUGUUGUUUCUU
RNAcentral lists this long non-coding RNA (459 nucleotides) under Mytilus galloprovincialis (Mediterranean mussel). Lineage: Eukaryota; Metazoa; Mollusca; Bivalvia; Mytilida; Mytilidae. The record is from RNAcentral.